RNAcentral lists this transfer RNA (69 nucleotides) under Hypoptychus dybowskii (Korean sandeel). RNAcentral's name for it is "tRNA-Trp". It matches the Rfam family "tRNA". Rfam says of the family: Transfer RNA (tRNA) molecules are approximately 80 nucleotides in length. Their secondary structure includes four short double-helical elements and three loops (D, anti-codon, and T loops). Further hydrogen bonds mediate the characteristic L-shaped molecular structure. tRNAs have two regions of fundamental functional importance: the anti-codon, which is responsible for specific mRNA codon recognition, and the 3' end, to which the tRNAs corresponding amino acid is attached (by aminoacyl-tRNA synthetases). tRNAs cope with the degeneracy of the genetic code in two manners: having more than one tRNA (with a specific anti-codon) for a particular amino acid; and 'wobble' base-pairing, i.e. permitting non-standard base-pairing at the 3rd anti-codon position. Lineage: Eukaryota; Metazoa; Chordata; Actinopteri; Perciformes; Hypoptychidae. The record is from RNAcentral.
AGGGACUUAGGCUAAGCAGACCAAGGGCCUUCAAAGCCCUAAGCGAGGGUUAGACUCCCUCAGACCCUG